RNAcentral lists this ribosomal RNA (809 nucleotides) under Macrodiplodiopsis desmazieri. RNAcentral describes it as "eukaryotic LSU rRNA". It matches the Rfam family "Eukaryotic large subunit ribosomal RNA", at positions 86 to 909 of the family's 3401-position model. Lineage: Eukaryota; Fungi; Ascomycota; Dothideomycetes; Pleosporales. The record is from RNAcentral.
CCGGCGAGUGAAGCGGCAAUAGCUCAAAUUUGAAAUCUGGCUCUCUUUGGGGGUCCGAGUUGUAAUUUGCAGAGGGUGCUUUGGCGUUGACGGCGGUCUAAGUUCCUUGGAACAGGACAUCGCAGAGGGUGAGAAUCCCGUUUGUGGUCGCCAGUCUUCACCGUGUAAAGCCCCUUCGACGAGUCGAGUUGUUUGGGAAUGCAGCUCUAAAUGGGAGGUAAAUUUCUUCUAAAGCUAAAUACCGGCCAGAGACCGAUAGCGCACAAGUAGAGUGAUCGAAAGAUGAAAAGCACUUUGGAAAGAGAGUCAAAUAGCACGUGAAAUUGUUGAAAGGGAAGCGCUUGCAGCCAGACUUGCCUGUAGUUGCUCAUCCGGGCUCUUGCCCGGAGCACUCUUCUGCAGGCAGGCCAGCAUCAGUUUGGGCGGCUGGAUAAAGACCUCUGUCAUGUAUCUUCCUUCGGGAUGACCUUAUAGGGGAGGUGUAAUGCAGUCAGCCUGGACUGAGGUCCGCGCAUUUGCUAGGAUGCUGGCGUAAUGGCUGUAAGCGGCCCGUCUUGAAACACGGACCAAGGAGUCUAACAUCUAUGCGAGUGUUUGGGUGUCAAGCCCGGGCGCGCAAUGAAAGUGAACGGAGGUGGGAACCCUCUCGGGGGUGCACCAUCGACCGAUCCUGAUGUCUUCGGAUGGAUUUGAGUAAGAGCAUAGCUGUUGGGACCCGAAAGAUGGUGAACUAUGCUUGAAUAGGGUGAAGCCAGAGGAAACUCUGGUGGAGGCUCGCAGCGGUUCUGACGUGCAAAUCGAUCGUCAAA